RNAcentral lists this unclassified non-coding RNA (354 nucleotides) under soil metagenome. RNAcentral describes it as "partial contains 5.8S ribosomal RNA, internal transcribed spacer 2, and large subunit ribosomal RNA". The stretch from base 1 to 119 matches the Rfam family "5.8S ribosomal RNA", at positions 35 to 154 of the family's 154-position model. The record is from RNAcentral.
GAUGAAGAACGUAGCGAAAUGCGAUAAGUAAUGCGAAUUGCAGAAUCCGUGAGUCAUCGAAUCUUUGAACGCACAUUGCGCCCUUUGGUAUUCCGAAGGGCAUGCCUGUUCGAGCGUCAUUAUCACCACUCAAGCCCGGCUUACUGUUGGUGGCAGCGCAGCCGGUCAACCGGCUACGCUCCACCCAAAGAUAAUGACGGCGUCUGCGAGGACUCCUGUACAUUGAGCUUUCGGGCACGUACAUGGCUAGAAGUCCAGGCGCCGGUCGACGUCCUCCGGGACACUUUUUACCAAGGUUGACCUCGGAUCAGGUAGGGAUACCCGCUGAACUUAAGCAUAUCAAUAAGCGGAGGA